ACUUCUGCGUCGGUGUAGGCUACACUAUAUUCUUCAAUGCACCUAACUUUAAUCAUGUGCAGAUAUUUCUAAUUGAGAAAAAACCAACUGGAUGUUUGGAUUAUUGGUAGACUGCGACUUAGGCGGAAAAUUGAAAGAUUUCCUAAAAAAAUAUUCCAAAAGAAAACUUGGGACUGAUUGAGCGCGCUCUGAGGUUGUCUGUGUAAUAUCUGCAGUCUAAAAGCAGGUAAGCCACUGACUAACGCACAUUGUGCCAGUUUCCAGUUCCACUGUGCGUGUGACAGCGGCUAACCUGGUUUUGGGAACACCUCUCAUAUUCUUUGACUCGUCCGAGGCCCAGCCAGAGCCGGAUCAGACAGACACCUGUUUACGGUCCUUGAUCGUGGCCCCGUGAGGACCGCCUGGACAUGAAUGCCCUCCCAGUGGUCUCCAUGUGUACUGUAACCUACUUCCUACUGUGUUCAUGCAGUACCUAAUUUAGGACCAUGUGGCGUUUGCACUCCCUCCUCUUUAAUGCCAUCAUUUGAGACUGCUGGUGAGUGUUUUGUUUCAGUUUCUGUUUCAUCUGAUGGGUUUGGAUCAUAUUCAUGUUCACUGGUUACCAAGUUGAGGUCAGGGGGGCCUCCAGGGGUUCUUCAGGAGGUUCCUUGGGGCCCAUAAGCAAAAAUGAACACUGCUAUAAAGAAACCCAGUUUCAGGACAGAAUGUCUAAUAUUAUAUAAUACAAUAUAAUAUAGUGAUUCCUCCACCCCAUAACUUCAUAUGACUAGAACCAGUUUAUUACUAAAUUCUAUAGAGCAACACAAAUGGUACCAUGUAAGAAAAUAUAAAUGGAUUGUAUAAUUACAGUAUGUGCAAUGUAUGCUUGUAAGUAUCCAAAGUAAAGUUUCUACUCAAAUCAA
Archocentrus centrarchus (flier cichlid) is the source of this 902-nucleotide long non-coding RNA. RefSeq lists it as uncharacterized. The record is from RefSeq and is a predicted model, not a curated record. NCBI's taxonomy places the organism in Eukaryota, Metazoa, Chordata, Actinopteri, Cichliformes, Cichlidae. The transcript has 2 exons.